RNAcentral lists this non-coding RNA (752 nucleotides) under Mordellidae sp. 4 ACP-2013. The record is from RNAcentral. Lineage: Eukaryota; Metazoa; Arthropoda; Insecta; Coleoptera; Mordellidae.
AAAAGUUUUAUUUUAGCUUAAAAAAUUAACUGUAAGGUUUUUGUGUAUGUAAAGUUUUAAUUUUAAAUAAUUGUAGAAGCAGUUCUUGGUUUUAAAAAUUGAGGUAAUUCUUGAUUUAGAAAUCUUUUCUUAUUUAAACAAAGGUUGUGCCAGCAGUUGCGGUUAAACAAUCUAGGUAAGUUAAUUUUUUUUAGUAAAAUUAGAAAGGGUUAUUAAUUUUAGUUUAUUGGAAAUUUAUUAGGUGAAAUUUUAAAUUUUUGUUGUUAUGAUAGAUGUUUUGAGGUUUAAAAAUUUUUUUGUAAACUAGGAUUAGAUACCCUAUUAUUUUGAAUGUAAUAUUGAUGUUAAAAUUAGUAUAAGUUAUUUUCUGGAAAAUUAAAGAAUUUGGCGGUAUUUUAGUCUAUUCAGAGGAACCUGUCCUGUAAAUGAUAGUCCACGAUUAAUUAAACUUUGUUUAUAAGUUUGUAUAUCUUCGUAUUAAGAGUAUUUUUUUAGAAAUUGAAUAUUCAUUAGUUUAAGUUAGAUGAUAAUUCAGAUCAAGGUGUAGUUUAUAAUAAAGAAGAGGUGGGUUACAUUAAGUUAAUUUUUGGUUUUUUUUUGAAAAUAAAAAUUAAAUUGGAUUUGAUAGUAAUUUCUUAUAUUUUUAAGUUUUGACUAGGGCUCUAAAAUAUACACAUAUUGCCCGUCGCUUCCGUUGAUUUGGAAUAAGUCGUAACAAAGUAGAUUUAUUGGAAAGUGAAUCUGGAUUAGUC